Molecule: non-coding RNA, 83 nt
Organism: Saccoglossus kowalevskii
Lineage: Eukaryota; Metazoa; Hemichordata; Enteropneusta; Harrimaniidae
Source: the annotation of a RefSeq genome assembly
GACGAGGUGGCCGAGUGCGUAAGGCGAUGGACUGCUAAUCCAUUUUUGUUCUGCACGCAUGGGUUCGAAUCCCAUCCUCGUCG